RNAcentral lists this long non-coding RNA (1268 nucleotides) under Malus domestica (apple). Its description in RNAcentral is "long non-coding RNA (MDOM_LNC015241)". The record is from RNAcentral. Lineage: Eukaryota; Viridiplantae; Streptophyta; Magnoliopsida; Rosales; Rosaceae.
GGCAAUAUUUUGAUAUGUAUAUAUCCAAAACAAGUAACGAUAAAAUAAACUUGGAUUUUAAUUUGCUAAUUUUCAGGCAUGAGAUUGUGGGGGAAGUGACAGAAGUGGGAAGCAAGGUGAAUAAAGUGAAAAUAGGAGACAAAGUGGGUGUAGGUUGCAUGGUUGGUGCUUGCCAUGCCUGCGAGAGCUGUAACAGCAAUCUUGAAAACUACUGCCCCAAAAUGAUUCUUACCUAAAAUUCCCUUUACCCCGACGGAACUGUCACAUAUGGAGGUUACUCGGACACAAUGGUCGCCAAUGAGCGCUACAUUGUUCAUUUCCCCGAGAACCUGCCACUUGAUGCUGGUGCUCCUCUACUAUGUGCUGGGAUCACAGUGUAUAGUCCCCUGAGAUAUUUUGGCUUAUCUGAGCCUGGUAAGCAUGUUGGCAUUGUAGGCCUUGGCGGGCUUGCUCACACCGGUGUGAAAUUUGCCAAGGCGUUUGGGUCAAAAGUGUCUGUGAUUAGUACCUCCCCUGGCAAGAAAGAUGAAGCUCUGAAGAAACUUGGGGCUGAUUCAUGUUGGAGAACAAUUCAGAAAUAAACAAUAUAACAGAAAUAAACAGAACUUGAAAUUCACAAUUUUAUUUCACAAAAAGUACUUGCUAUACAGAAUGAAAAGUAUACAAUAAAUACAUAAAUUAAUAUAAGAAUAUCAACAGUACUAACUUGAUUACAGAAGGUAGAGGUUAGCGUAAAAGCUAUGUCAUUCGAACAGUAAUUCCGUCCCACUCUUGUGCUUGUGGUUCUAUAACGUCUGCUCGACCAGGAUACAACUACCUAAUCCUACAACCCGCAUUGGAUUAUAGAAUUCUAGCGAAUUGCUUUGUGUGUUUACUCUCUCUGGAAAGUUUGUACGGAAGAAAAGGAAGAAGAAAAGAUGAAAAAUGAUGAACUGAGGACUCCAGUUAUAUAGGCUCUUUCAUACCUCUUCAAAUACCUUUUGGAUGUAUCUGAAGCUUUACAACUCUCUACAAAAGGUUGUAUCUUUAAUCAAAACGUUUUUAAUUAAUUUAAUUAAAAACUUAAUUCGAAAUUAAAACUAAUUGAUCAGAUUAAUUUUAAUUCUUAGGCCCUUGUCUUGAUUAAUUAAUAUUAAUAUUAUGGUAUAAUCAUCAAGCCCAAUCCACAGAAUGGUGGCCCAAGCCUCAAUUCCCAUUCCAAGGGGUCCAACACAUAACUAAUAUUGUAGAAGACAAAACAUAUAUAAAGGUACUUUGGAAUCUUGUUU